AACAUUCCCAGAGAGCUCUUCGGCAUAGUUGGGGCAAGCGCCCCCCCCACACACACCCCGAGGGCCCCUGCCUGCCAAACACCGCAGCAGGGCCUCUGAGAAAAUACCGCAUUUCUAGGAAGGGAGGCAGAGAACUGGGCGAGCGACUCCAUCACCUUCCUGUGUGUGAACCUUGGGGACGAGAAAAGCGCCCUAAAUGGACUGAUGCCCCCCGAGCCCUUAGCGCAGUGCCUCACAUGCAGGAGAGCCUCUCUAAGGGUUGCUAGAUGAACCGGGCGGAGACCCCCAGAACACACGAACGAAAAGCACGAACCAAUGCGAACUCAUUGCAGGUGUCGGGAACAUGCGUGCGAGAGUGAUUUCGUGAUAGAGGCGGGUGACAGACUCCGGGGAGGUUUCAGUGUGUUGGAUUAGCUUCUUCACCAUCCCAGACAUUUUCCUAUAAAGGCAGGUUGCCAGCUGGGUUUGAAAGGCUUGAAGGGACACGAUCCAGCUGUUAGGCAGACUCUCCGGGAGGGAGGGGAUGGAGCCGACAUUGUGAGUGGCAAUGAAUGAGCUCGGGUGCAGAAGGAACACUGACUCAACAGGAAGCAGCAGAUGCAGGGAGGGUACCGGGUCCCAGUACCACCCACCCCUGCGAGGCCACUUCUGACACCGCCGAAAGCAUCUAUGUCCGUUUUUAAUCCGAUUUCAAAAUAACACUGAGCCUAUCUUCAGAUGACCCACAAAUAUCUGUGAAUAAACCAUCCACAGAAAUUUCAGCAUGUUCACUUCAGCUUGAUUAAUCAUAAAAAAAAAGAAAAGAAGGAGUGUCUUCUGGGCAGGUCCAUUUGGCACUCAAGUGGUGGCACUGCCUUGACGGGAUCUCGGUGUUCCCUGAUCUCAUCCUCUGAUGCACAGGCUGAGAGAACUGACUUUGUCACUGUGCCGAGAGCCGACUGGACCCCAAAGGGCAGACUCACACUAAUCCAACUCAUAAGGGAAUGAGGUAUGGAAGCUACGAUAUCAACCUACAAUUUAUAUUUGUGAUGAGACGCUCACUUCCUGAUCCUCAUACCUGCUUUUCCACCUGCCUGCAAUCAUUUCCCUACAGCCCCCGGCCCCCCUGAUUAGCCAGUCUUAGGUCUCCAUUCAUCAGCUUCCCAGAAACCCUUUCCAAUCAUCCUGACCGACAUCGAGGGCCUUUCGUAUGUGUUCCCACAGCUGCACUGCUUUCCAAGUCACAGUUGUGUAGUGUUUUCCCAACACCCACAAGUUCCCCAAUUCUUCAGACACCACUGGGUGUAAUACGAGUCACCUCCGACACUAACCAUCGGGUUAGGUGUCAGCAUCCGCAGGUCAAUGCCUCAGUCCCACAGGACAGCCCCCACCUCCAACACCAGCCCCAAGCCCCACGUGGGAAGCUCUCUGAACCCAACUGCUUAGGGAUGUUUUUAUGGGGGUCUCCUUGAGCAGUCCUGAUUGGUCAGACCACUGGCCAUGAGUAAUCCGCUCAAUCUCCUGCCCUCCCCACCUCCCUUGGACGUCAGGGGUUGGGGCUGAACAUUCCAACCGUCUAACCUUGGCUUUUCUGCAAGCAGCCCCCCUCCUGAAACGCUCGAGGGAUCCCAACCGCAGUCAUCUCCUUCGCACACUCAUCACUCUGGAGAUUCCAAAGUUUGUAGGAACUGCGUGCCGGGCACCAAAUAUUUAUUUAUUAUGUUUUUCAUAUUUGUUGUUAUGUAUUCAUAUUUCCGUUUCACAGUGGCAUUUAACGUGUAAAACAUGAAUCCCUUAUUUACUCACCUCUCUGCCCCAGGAGCAGAAGGACAUUGUACUCGCCCUUAUACCCACAGUACCCAAUGCCAGCCCUGCCGCCUUCCCGGCUCCAUCCCUGGAGCCUUGCGUUUUGGAAUGCUGAGCAAAUCCACCUGGCAGGUCAAACUACAGUGAAAACACUUAGCUCUGGACUCAAAUGUAAGUGACCUGGCUGCGUGAUGCGGUUGACCAGAGUCCCCUGGGCAGACAGGUGAUCCGGUUCAUUACAAAGGCACGUAUGGCACAGGCUGGAAACCCUGAUCUCAGAUCAGGUAACCUUAGCUCAGAGUCCCUGAGAGUUUCACUCCAAGGGUUGUAACCUUGAACCCCCAUUACAAGUGCAUUGUCCUCCUCCACACCCCCCAGUACCCCAGGUGACCUCACCUGUACAUUGUGUGUUCUUGAAAAUGCGCCAACUGUGCAAGCAAAGGCAGGCUCUGCAGCAUUUCCUUUCUAUAUGUAAUUCAUUUUAUCCAUAAGUCUUAGCUUCGUUUAUUCCAAACUCAGUGUGACUUCAGUGGCAUUUUUGAGGGAUGUUAUUUAGCAUCCUAUCUCCCCUGCUUUGUCCCUGUAAAGUAUUCCUUGUGUUUUUAUUAUUAUUACCAAAAAAUUUCAUUAUCACAUUAUAGACAGUUUUAAAAAGGCAAAAAGAAAAAUUAAAACCACCAGUUAGGAGUAAUUAUUUUGAAUCUUUUUUCUACUUAAAAAUUUAUGAUGAGGUGUUUUCUACUUAAAAAUAUAUGAUGUGGCUCAGCAGUGGUAACAAACCUGACUAGUAUCCAUGAAUAUGGCUUCUAUCCCUGGCCUUGCUCAGUGGGUUGAGGAUCCAGCAUUGCCAUGAGCUGGGGUGUAGGUCCAGACGGGGCUCAGAUCUGGCGUUGCUGUGGCUGUGGUGUAGGCUGGCAGCUGUAGCUCCAAUUCGACCUCUAGCCUGGAAACCUCCAUAUGACGCAGGUGCGCCCCUACAAGGACAAACAUACCUAUGAUAAGCAUCUUCCUGCAUCACUAGAUUUCUAAAAUGACAAGUUUUCAGGACUCCAUUUGGCCACCUGCAUGCUAAUUAAGUUAGUAAGUAUUUCUUUUCCAUUUCCCGAUCUGAUUCAAAAGUGUAUUUUUCAUGUAGUCAUUAAACAAUGUGGGUGUGAAAAUGCUUGUGCAACAUGAAAAAUGUUUCCAGUGUAAUGGUGAGUAAAAGAGGCAGGACCAAAUUUGUGUGGAUACUCUAAUUGCAAUUAAUUUUAAAAAAUUAAUUCCGAGAAAAAAGGAUUGAAGAAUAUAUAUUAAAACGCAGUUUGCAGAGCUUCCGUCAUGGUUCAGCGGAAAUACAUCUGACUAGUAUCCACAAGGAUGUAGGUUCGACCCCUGGCCUCGCUCUGUGGUGUAGGUCGAAGACGCGGCUCAGAGCCGGUGUUGCUGUGGCUGUGGUGUAGGCAGGCAGCCAUGGCUCUGAUUCAACCUCCUAGCCUGGGAACCUCCACAUGCUGUCGGUGUGGCCCUAAAAAG
This 3300-nucleotide long non-coding RNA is filed under the name Sus scrofa (pig). RNAcentral's name for it is "lncRNA (ENSSSCG00000059587.1)". Lineage: Eukaryota; Metazoa; Chordata; Mammalia; Artiodactyla; Suidae. The record is from RNAcentral.